This 522-nucleotide ribosomal RNA is filed under the name uncultured bacterium. Its description in RNAcentral is "bacterial SSU rRNA". It matches the Rfam family "Bacterial small subunit ribosomal RNA", at positions 355 to 896 of the family's 1533-position model. The record is from RNAcentral.
UGGGGAAUAUUGCACAAUGGGCGAAAGCCUGAUGCAGCAACGCCGCGUGAGCGAUGAAGGCCUUCGGGUCGUAAAGCUCUGUCCUCAAGGAAGAUAAUGACGGUACUUGAGGAGGAAGCCCCGGCUAACUACGUGCCAGCAGCCGCGGUAAUACGUAGGGGGCUAGCGUUAUCCGGAAUUACUGGGCGUAAAGGGUGCGUAGGCGGUCUUUCAAGUCAGGAGUGAAAGGCUACGGCUCAACCGUAGUAAGCUCUUGAAACUGUAAGACUUGAGUGCAGGAGAGGAGAGUAGAAUUCCUAGUGUAGCGGUGAAAUGCGUAGAUAUUAGGAGGAAUACCAGUUGCGAAGGCGGCUCUCUGGACUGUAACUGACGCUGAGGCACGAAAGCGUGGGGAGCAAACAGGAUUAGAUACCCUGGUAGUCCACGCCGUAAACGAUGAGUACUAGCUGUCGGAGGUUACCCCCUUCGGUGGCGCAGCUAACGCAUUAAGUACUCCGCCUGGGAAGUACGCUCGCAAGAGUG